AGAGUUUGAUCAUGGCUCAGGAUGAACGCUGGCGGCGUGCCUAAUACAUGCAAGUCGAGCGAAUGGAUUAAGAGCUUGCUCUUAUGAAGUUAGCGGCGGACGGGUGAGUAACACGUGGGUAACCUGCCCAUAAGACUGGGAUAACUCCGGGAAACCGGGGCUAAUACCGGAUAACAUUUUGAACUGCAUGGUUCGAAAUUGAAAGGCGGCUUCGGCUGUCACUUAUGGAUGGACCCGCGUCGCAUUAGCUAGUUGGUGAGGUAACGGCUCACCAAGGCAACGAUGCGUAGCCGACCUGAGAGGGUGAUCGGCCACACUGGGACUGAGACACGGCCCAGACUCCUACGGGAGGCAGCAGUAGGGAAUCUUCCGCAAUGGACGAAAGUCUGACGGAGCAACGCCGCGUGAGUGAUGAAGGCUUUCGGGUCGUAAAACUCUGUUGUUAGGGAAGAACAAGUGCUAGUUGAAUAAGCUGGCACCUUGACGGUACCUAACCAGAAAGCCACGGCUAACUACGUGCCAGCAGCCGCGGUAAUACGUAGGUGGCAAGCGUUAUCCGGAAUUAUUGGGCGUAAAGCGCGCGCAGGUGGUUUCUUAAGUCUGAUGUGAAAGCCCACGGUUCAACCGUGGAGGGUCAUUGGAAACUGGGAGACUUGAGUGCAGAAGAGGAAAGUGGAAUUCCAUGUGUAGCGGUGAAAUGCGUAGAGAUAUGGAGGAACACCAGUGGCGAAGGCGACUUUCUGGUCUGUAACUGACACUGAGGCGCGAAAGCGUGGGGAGCAAACAGGAUUAGAUACCCUAGUAGUCC
Molecule: ribosomal RNA, 808 nt
Filed under: uncultured bacterium
Lineage: Bacteria
Description: bacterial SSU rRNA
Rfam family: Bacterial small subunit ribosomal RNA
Source: RNAcentral